ACUACGGGUGGCAGCAGUGAGGAAUAUUGGUCAAUGGACGAGAGUCUGAACCAGCCAAGUAGCGUGAAGGAUGACUGCCCUAUGGGUUGUAAACUUCUGUUAUAUGGGAAUAAAAUGUUCCACGUGUGGGAUGUUGUAUGUACCAUAUGAAUAAGGAUCGGCUAACUCCGUGCCAGCAGCCGCGGUAAUACGGAGGAUCCGAGCGUUCUCCGGAUUGAGUGGGUUUAAAGGGAGCGUAGGUGGAUUGUUAAGUCAGUUGUGAAAGUUUGCGGCUCAACCGUAAAAUUGCAAUUGAUACUUGCAGUCUUGAGUACCGUUGAGGUAGGCGGAAUUCGUGUUGUAGCGG
This 346-nucleotide ribosomal RNA is filed under the name uncultured bacterium. RNAcentral's name for it is "partial 16S ribosomal RNA". It matches the Rfam family "Bacterial small subunit ribosomal RNA", at positions 338 to 681 of the family's 1533-position model. The record is from RNAcentral.